Molecule: ribosomal RNA, 467 nt
Filed under: uncultured bacterium
Lineage: Bacteria
Description: partial 16S ribosomal RNA
Rfam family: Bacterial small subunit ribosomal RNA
Source: RNAcentral
GACGAACGCUGGCGGCGUGCUUAACACAUGCAAGUCGAACGGAAAGGCCCUGCUUUUGUGGGGUGCUCGAGUGGCGAACGGGUGAGUAACACGUGAGUAACCUGGCCUUGACUUUGGGAUAACUUCAGGAAACUGGGGCUAAUACCGGAUAGGAGCUCCUGCUGCAUGGGGGGGGUUGGAAAGUUUCGGCGGUUGGGGAUGUACUCGCGGCUUAGCAGCUUGUUGGUGGGGUAGCGGCUUACCAAGGAUUUGACGGGUAGCCGGACUGGGAGGGUGACCGGCUACAUUGGGCCAGGGGUGGGGCCAGGGCGCAAACGGGGGGCAGCGGUGGGAAAUAUUGCACAAUGGGCGGAGGCCUGAUGCAGGGACGCCGCGUGCGAGAUGACGGCCUGCGGGGUGUAAGCGGCUUUAGCCUGUGACGAGGCGUGAGGGAGGGUCAUGGAUAAAGAGGCACCGGCUAACUACGG